This 1395-nucleotide long non-coding RNA is filed under the name Homo sapiens (human). Its description in RNAcentral is "HSALNT0166812". Lineage: Eukaryota; Metazoa; Chordata; Mammalia; Primates; Hominidae. The record is from RNAcentral.
CCCGCGUCGGGCUGGGAGAUGCGCCCUGCCCUGGCCCGAGGACGAAGGAAUCCGAGCUGGGGGCCUGGCGCAGAGGGGAAAGGGGGGCGCCAGGGUGAUGGGGACCCAGAGCCUGCUCUUGGGAACAGCCAGAGUAAGAUUGGAACCCAGACUUGCAGUCCAGCGCUGUUUGCAUUAAAAGGGGAAUUCUCUAGCAGAGGGAGGGGACCCACCCCAGUGAGGAAGUAGAUUGCUGCCUCUAGCCAGAGACCUGAACUGGGGAAUUUGAACAUUCCUUUACAUUGUUGGAGAAAUGAAGCCAAAGUUAUUCAGAUGGUUUUCCCAGGCUAAAGGAAAGUCACCUGCAAGAGAUCCCGGCACUGAUCUGGAGCAGCUGACAGGGUGGGUCUCCCUUACCAAAGAGAAGAACCACUCUCUGGCGCUGGGGUGACCUGCUGGCUGGGCCUGUAAGGUUUCCAUGUUGCUGAGGCCAUGGAGAUUCCCAGAGCUGGUCACACCGACCGCUCUCAGGGCCCGCUGCCCUGGGCUGGCAACACCAUUCUGGCCUUGGCCUGCAGAAGCUUUCAGAGUCUUCACUGGCAGUAGGGGGAGAUGGGGAGAGGAAUGAUCUCUGCCCAGCCCCUUCCUUUCCAAACCAUGCAAUGGAAGAGCCCAGAUGGGUGAAGAUUGAUUUUGCCUUAACUCAAGAGAAUUCCUGUUCUCCUUGUGCUAUGAUUUGGACACAAGAUUCUGGAUACCUGGAACUUAGCUGUGUACUCCUGUACCCUAAACAGUGGAUUUGAGUUCCAGCGUUUAUUCUUUUUUCCUUUUUUCAGAUCACCAUCUAAGUUACAUCUUUAGCUCAGGUCCAUCCUUCUCAAGAUCUCCUUCUUAGCCCCCCAGCCCCUGGUGCUGUCUGUGGUCAGGUGACCUUACUCAGGAGCAGAUAUCUCCUUGGCCGCCAUGGAGCCUCAUCCAUCCACACGUGCCUGUAGCAUUCCAGAGCUCACUGCCCUUCUAGAUGUGCCUUCCCGCUUGGCUUCCAGCGGCUUGUGCUCACUCUGUCUGCCAGGUAUGAGAAGAACACGUAAGACCGCCACCACACUCACCCUCCCUCAAGGCCCUGUGCCAUAGGGGUGGCCACCCGACCUGCCCCCAGAACUUUUGGAUACUGGAGGCAGUUGCAUAGGUCUCCCUCUCUGGGCACCAGGACUCAGUCCAGCCCAAGACUACUCUGGGCAGCUCCCAUCCCAGUCUGGGGCCAUUUGCAGACUCAGGAAAGGAUUUCUACAGUGUUCUAUAAAAGCCAAAAGAGAGAGUGGGUUUGGGAAGAGUGAGGGUGGUUGGGGAGAGGGGACCGAUGUGCCUCAUUGUUUAGUGGUGAUUACAAAUAUGCUUUUCUGGAUAAAGUUUGGU